UUUAUUCUUGUUAUGAUUUCGUGUUCCGCGUUCCAUGUUUUAUUACGAAUCUGUGUGCUUUCCUCUGCUUUCCUCUGUUUUAUAUUACUUAUGGGUGUCGUAUUUAUGUUAUGUAAUCUGCUUCUGUGCUUUACUAUGUGUUUGUGUGGUAUCUCGUGCCUUGAGUCGGGGGUCUAUCGGAAACAGCCUUUCUACUUCAUCAGAGGUAGAGGUAUGGACUGCGUACAUCUUAACCCCCCCAGACCCCACUAGGUGGGAAUACACUGG
RNAcentral lists this long non-coding RNA (267 nucleotides) under Capsicum annuum. Its description in RNAcentral is "long non-coding RNA (CANN_LNC018351)". The record is from RNAcentral. Lineage: Eukaryota; Viridiplantae; Streptophyta; Magnoliopsida; Solanales; Solanaceae.